RNAcentral lists this ribosomal RNA (320 nucleotides) under uncultured eukaryote. RNAcentral's name for it is "partial 18S ribosomal RNA". It matches the Rfam family "Eukaryotic small subunit ribosomal RNA", at positions 1470 to 1796 of the family's 1831-position model. The record is from RNAcentral.
CCCUUAGAUGUUCUGGGCUGCACGCGUGUUACAAUCGGGAGUACAACAAGAUUGCAAAUCCUAGUGGAUGAGUGGUUCUUCGAAAUUUUCUGAAGACUGGGAUAGUUGAUUGAAAUUAUUCAACUCGAACGAGGAAUUCCUUGUAAUUGUAAUUCAUUAUAUUGUAAUGAAUACGUCCCUGCCCUUUGUACACACCGCCCGUCGCACCUACCGAUUGAAUGGUCCGGUGAAAUCUCCGGACUGGCGUGAGUCGGAGCAAUCUGACAAACACCGGAAAGUUGAUUAAACCUUACCAUUUAGAGGAAGGUGAAGUCGUAACA